This 440-nucleotide ribosomal RNA is filed under the name uncultured bacterium. Its description in RNAcentral is "partial 16S ribosomal RNA". It matches the Rfam family "Bacterial small subunit ribosomal RNA", at positions 338 to 795 of the family's 1533-position model. The record is from RNAcentral.
CCUACGGGUGGCAGCAGUGGGGGAUAUUGCACAAUGGGGGGAACCCUGAUGCAGCGACGCCGCGUGGGUGAAGAAGCGCCUCGGCGCGUAAAGCCCUGUCAGCAGGGAAGAAAAUGACGGUACCUGAAGAAGAAGCCCCGGCUAACUACGUGCCAGCAGCCGCGGUAAUACGUAGGGGGCAAGCGUUAUCCGGAUUUACUGGGUGUAAAGGGGGCGCAGACGGCGAUGCAAGCCAGGAGUGAAAGCCCGGGGCGCAACCCCGGGACUGCUCUUGGAACUGCGUGGCGGGAGAGCAGGAGGGGCAGGCGGAAUUCAGGGUGUAGCGGUGAAAGGCGUAGAGAUCAGAAAGAACACCGGUGGAGAGGGCGGCCUACUGAGCUACAGCUGACGUUGAGGCCCGAAAGCGGGGGGAGCAAACAGGAUUAGAUACCCGAGUAGUC